GACGAACGCUGGCGGCGUGCUUAACACAUGCAAGUCGAACGGAAAGGCCUGCUUUCCCUUGUGGAUUGCGGGUACUCGAGUGGCGAACGGGUGAGUAACACGUGAGUGAUCUGCCCCCAACUUGGGUAUAAGCCUGGGAAACUGGGUCUAAUUCCCGAUAGGACUGCAGGGUGGUGCCUGUGGUGGAAAACGAUUUUCUAGUGGGUGGGGAUGAGCUCGCGGCCUAUCAGCUUGUUGGUGGGGUAAUGGCCUGCCAAGGCGGCGACGGGUAGCCGGCCUGAGAGGGUGGACGGCCACAUUGGGACUGAGAUACGGCCCAGACUCCUACGAGAGGCAGCAGUGGGGAAUAUUGCACAAUGGGCGGAAGCCUGAUGCAGCGACGCCGCGUGGGGGAUGACGGCCUUCGGGUUGUAAACUCCUUUCGACCGCGAGGAAGCCACCUGGUUGGAAGGGUGGUGACGGUAGUGGUAGAAGAAGCACCGGCUAACUACGUG
Molecule: ribosomal RNA, 494 nt
Filed under: uncultured bacterium
Lineage: Bacteria
Description: partial 16S ribosomal RNA
Rfam family: Bacterial small subunit ribosomal RNA
Source: RNAcentral